This 253-nucleotide ribosomal RNA is filed under the name uncultured bacterium. RNAcentral's name for it is "partial 16S ribosomal RNA". It matches the Rfam family "Bacterial small subunit ribosomal RNA", at positions 524 to 776 of the family's 1533-position model. The record is from RNAcentral.
UACGAAGGGGGCUAGCGUUGUUCGGAAUUACUGGGCGUAAAGCGCACGUAGGCGGCUAUUUAAGUCAGGGGUGAAAUCCCAGAGCUCAACUCUGGAACUGCCUUUGAUACUGGGUAUCUUGAGUAUGGAAGAGGUAAGUGGAAUUGCGAGUGUAGAGGUGAAAUUCGUAGAUAUUCGCAGGAACACCAGUGGCGAAGGCGGCUUACUGGACCAUAACUGACGCUGAGGUGCGAAAGCGUGGGGAGCAAACAGG